ACUCCUACGGGGCAGGCAGUGGGAAGUAUUGGACAAUGGGCGAAAGCCUGAUCCAGCCAUGCCGCGUGUGUGAAGAAGGCCCUCGGGUUGUAAAGCACUUUCAGCGAGGAAGAACGCCUAGUGGUUAAUACCCAUUAGGAAAGACAUCACUCGCAGAAGAAGCACCGGCUAACUCCGUGCCAGCAGCCGCGGUAAUACGGAGGGUGCAAGCGUUAAUCGGAAUUACUGGGCGUAAAGCGCGCGUAGGUGGCUUGAUAAGCCGGUUGUGAAAGCCCGGCUGCAACCUGGGAACGGCAUCCGGAACUGUCAAGCUAGAGUGCAGGAGAGGAAGGUAGAAUUCCCGGUGUAGCGGUGAAAUGCGUAGAGAUCGGGAGGAAUACCAGUGGCGAAGGCGGCCUUCUGGACUGACACUGACACUGAGGUGCGAAAGCGUGGGUAGCAAACAGGAUUAGAUACCCUGGUAGGCUCUG
RNAcentral lists this ribosomal RNA (470 nucleotides) under uncultured bacterium. RNAcentral's name for it is "bacterial SSU rRNA". It matches the Rfam family "Bacterial small subunit ribosomal RNA", at positions 335 to 799 of the family's 1533-position model. The record is from RNAcentral.